AUGGCACUCAAGAUUGAUAUGUCCAAGGCGUACGGCAGAUUGGAAUGGGAUUUCGUUACUGGAGUUUUAAGCUGUAUGGUGAGGCAAGAAAAUCGCAGGAGAAAGAUUCAUGGUAUCCAAGUAUCUAGGAAGGCUCCUGCCAUUUUGUUUUUUGCUAGGACAAAUGCUACUGAAGUGAAUUGCAUCAUGGAUAUUCUUCAAAGAUGCUAA
Non-coding RNA from Vicia faba (fava bean), 210 nucleotides. The record is from the annotation of a GenBank genome assembly. Lineage: Eukaryota; Viridiplantae; Streptophyta; Magnoliopsida; Fabales; Fabaceae.